RNAcentral lists this long non-coding RNA (1048 nucleotides) under Brachypodium distachyon (stiff brome). RNAcentral describes it as "long non-coding RNA (BDIS_LNC005714)". The record is from RNAcentral. Lineage: Eukaryota; Viridiplantae; Streptophyta; Magnoliopsida; Poales; Poaceae.
CUCGGAGGGUCAGGAAAAAACCCAACAAGCUCCCCUAGGAGCACAAGAGACAACACACAAACAACACAACUCCACCAUAUAUAGCUCAUACCUAGACACUGCCGCUGGCGCAGAAGGGGAAGCAAAACCACAACCAAUAUGGCAAGAGGCAAAAAGUGGGCCACCACGACUUUGGGGGCGGUGGCAGCACGUAACCAUUGUCCUUCGCUGACGAACCACGACUUGUUAUAAAGGCUUCAGUAUAAGCUCUACACUUAAUUAUAUUGUCUUUUAUCCCAUUUAGAGUAAGACAAUAUUUGAAUGCACUUAAAAACUUGAGCCUCCAGCUUCAAAACAGAUCUAUUUACAACUCUCGACCCAAAGGAGGAAUUUGUGUGUCAUGUCAUUAGUCCUUGCCUCAUGAGUUCAUUCUUUAUUUCUCCGGUUUGUUCUGUCUUUCCGUCUGCCUUCUCAUUUCUCUCCAUUUUUCUCUGUCACAUCUCUCCUCUCAUUUUUAGCGCGGCUAUGUGAACCAUUUUGAUGCAGAGGCAAAGACCGGGAUCAACCUCUUUUUUGAAAAAAGAAAAGAAAAAAAUAGCUUGCAACUCGUCUAUCUACCAUAGACCGUGCGUCCAUGCGGCCGCCCAUUUGGUAAAGGGGUUGUAAAAACAACUUGUUUUAGUUUGGAGGUUGAGCAUUAAGCCAGUUGAAGAGUACCGGGGUAAGUCACGAAAGAAAACCUUAAUCUAUUUUGAAGUCUUUAUCGAUCGAGAGCGUCUCUGUUCUGCACGCGAGCCCUCUUUAUAUCGGCGUAGGUGGGUAACGGUGGAUUUUCUUUACCGAGGAGAGAGUUCAGAGGAGUAGAGAAAAAGACGUUCUGCUCGUAGGCGCAGCAGAUCAUAAGUGAUGGGGCUGGCUGGCGACGAGAGCAGCUGAUCGAGUGCACCCAUGGAUCAGGGAGCAACCUUAUAUUUAGAAAAAACAAGGUCCAGUCACAUCCAUGUAGCCACAAGGGCCCCUGUCUGAGGGAGAGAUGAGACGAGACAGUGAAAAUUAAUACUCCUAUAUA